CCUACGGGAGGCAGCAGUGGGGAAUAUUGCACAAUGGCGGAAACCCUGAUGCAGCGACGCCGCGUGAGUGAAGAAGUUUUUCGGUAUGUAAAGCUCUAUCAGCCAGGAAGCAAAAAGACGGUACCUGACUUAGAAGCCCCGGCUAACUACGUGCCAGCAGCCGCGGUAAUACGGAGGGGGCAAGCGUUAUCCGGAUUUACUGGGUGUAAAGGGAGCGUAGACGGCUGUGUAAGUCUAAAGGGAAAGCCCAGGGCUCAACCCCGGGACUGCUUUUGAAACUGGGGGGCUAGAGAGCUGGAGAGGUAAGUGGAAUUCCUAGUGUAGCGGUGAAAUGCGUAGAUAUUAGGAGGAACACCAGUGGCGAAGGCGGCUUACUGGACAGUAACUGACGUUGAGGCUCGAAAGCGUGGGGAGCAAACAGGAUUAGAUACCCGGGUAGUC
This 441-nucleotide ribosomal RNA is filed under the name uncultured bacterium. RNAcentral's name for it is "partial 16S ribosomal RNA". It matches the Rfam family "Bacterial small subunit ribosomal RNA", at positions 338 to 795 of the family's 1533-position model. The record is from RNAcentral.